GGCCUAUUAGCUCAGUUGGUUAGAGCAUUGUGUUAAUAAUGUGAAGGUUACAGGUUCGAGACUUGUAUAGGCCA
RNAcentral lists this transfer RNA (74 nucleotides) under Ipomoea nil (Japanese morning glory). It matches the Rfam family "tRNA". From Rfam's summary of the family: Transfer RNA (tRNA) molecules are approximately 80 nucleotides in length. Their secondary structure includes four short double-helical elements and three loops (D, anti-codon, and T loops). Lineage: Eukaryota; Viridiplantae; Streptophyta; Magnoliopsida; Solanales; Convolvulaceae. The record is from Rfam by way of RNAcentral.